Molecule: ribosomal RNA, 253 nt
Filed under: uncultured bacterium
Lineage: Bacteria
Description: partial 16S ribosomal RNA
Rfam family: Bacterial small subunit ribosomal RNA
Source: RNAcentral
UACGUAGGCAGCAAGCGUUGUUCGGAGUUACUGGGCGUAAAGGGUGCGUAGGCGGCCCUGUAAGUAUGGUGUGAAAUCUCCCGGCUUAACUGGGAGGGUGCGCUAUAGACUGCGGGGCUCGAGUGUGGGGGAGGAAAGUGGAAUUCCUGGUGUAGCGGUGAAAUGCGUAGAUAUCAGGAGGAACACCGGUGGUGUAAACGGCUUUCUGGACCAUAACUGACGCUGAGGCACGAAAGCGUGGGUAGCAAACAGG